GGAGAGGCGUGCGUACACAUGCGAGUCGACGGUGAAGCCCUUCGGGGUGGAUCAGUGGCGAACGGGUGAGUAACACGUGGGCAAUCUGCCCUGCACUCUGGGACAAGCCCUGGAAACGGGGUCUAAUACCGGAUACGACCUUCCUCUGCAUGGGGGUUGGUGGAAAGCUCCGGCGGUGCAGGAUGAGCCCGCGGCCUAUCAGCUUGUUGGUGGGGUAAUGGCCUACCAAGGCGACGACGGGUAGCCGGCCUGAGAGGGCGACCGGCCACACUGGGACUGAGACACGGCCCAGACUCCUACGGGAGGCAGCAGUGGGGAAUAUUGCACAAUGGGCGAAAGCCUGAUGCAGCGACGCCGCGUGAGGGAUGACGGCCUUCGGGUUGUAAACCUCUUUCAGCAGGGAAGAAGCGCAAGUGACGGUACCUGCAGAAGAAGCACCGGCUAACUACGUGCCAGCAGCCGCGGUAAUACGUAGGGUGCGAGCGUUGUCCGGAAUUAUUGGGCGUAAAGAGCUCGUAGGCGGCCUGUCGCGUCGGAUGUGAAAGCCCGGGGCUUAACCCCGGGUCUGCAUUCGAUACGGGCAGGCUAGAGUGUGGUAGGGGAGAUCGGAAUUCCUGGUGUAGCGGUGAAAUGCGCAGAUAUCAGGAGGAACACCGGUGGCGAAGGCGGAUCUCUGGGCCAUUACUGACGCUGAGGAGCGAAAGCGUGGGGAGCGAACAGGAUUAGAUACCCUGGUAGUCCACGCCGUAAACGUUGGGAACUAGGUGUUGGCGACAUUCCACGUCGUCGGUGCCGCAGCUAACGCAUUAAGUUCCCCGCCUGGGGAGUACGGCCGCAAGGCUAAAACU
RNAcentral lists this ribosomal RNA (848 nucleotides) under bacterium 3F. RNAcentral's name for it is "bacterial SSU rRNA". It matches the Rfam family "Bacterial small subunit ribosomal RNA", at positions 38 to 901 of the family's 1533-position model. The record is from RNAcentral.